GUGAGAAGGUCAACCGGAGAUUGAUAUUGUGAAUAUUAUAAUACAUUGUUUUUGUGCAGUAAUACGUUUUACAGUUCAGCUUACUCAGCUGCCGGUGGUUUUUGAAUAUACCUAAAAAAUGUGAGUAAACUAUGGUCGUGAGGAAUGUCAGUUUAAUGAUGCUACAAUUAGCAUUAGCUGCUGCUGCUUGGAUCACUGAGAGAACCCACUGUGUGUGUGCGUGUGCGGGACAAAAGUGUUUUCUACCAAGCGUCUGAUGUGCUCUACUCUAAUAGACAUGCUCAGGACUUGGCCUCAAUGAAAGGCCCACUCUCACACGAGGAACCCACGCGGGAAGUCUUCAUGGCGCAGCUUGCUGAUCAACAGCAGGUUUAAACUGAUCGUUACUGAAAACUGCUUUUCUGGACAACAGUAACCAUCACGGCCUUCACAAGAACUUUAUCGGCUCAGGCUCAAGGGCCAUGUGUCACUCAGUCACUAGUCUGAGUGAAAGCCUCAAUCUGUCUCUGUGAUAGAAAUAGGCCUGACACAUCUCCACCAAGGAAUGCUAAUCACGCAGGCUUGGCCUGGUCCUUUGUGGGCAGGCCAUGAUAAGGAAAAUCAGUUUCCCCUCCUGUCAGACAGUGGGGCCUGCACCCUGAUCCUGUCUGGGAGGAAACAAGACGUGGGCCUGGAAGUUACUGUCCCGUUUGCUGUGUAGUUGGAUGUAGCUCAGAACAGGGUUGGAUGGUGAACGUCAGGAAACAUGACUGCAAGUGAUGAAUUGUUCUAAGAAAUGUGACGAAAGGCAAUUAAA
Nerophis lumbriciformis (worm pipefish) is the source of this 796-nucleotide long non-coding RNA. RefSeq lists it as uncharacterized. Lineage: Eukaryota; Metazoa; Chordata; Actinopteri; Syngnathiformes; Syngnathidae. The record is from RefSeq and is a predicted model, not a curated record.